CAAUAGCGUAUAUUUAAGUUGUUGCAGUUAAAAAGCUCGUAGUUGGAUUUCGGUUAAGAGCGACCGGUCCGCCGUUUGGUGUGCACUGGUUGGUUUUAACUUCCUGCAGAGGACGUGCUCUGGGUUUAACGACCUGGACUCGGAGUCUACGUGGUUACUUUGAAAAAAUUAGAGUGUUCAAAGCGGGCUUACGCUUGAAUAUUUCAGCAUGGAAUAACACUAUAGGACUCCUGUCCUAUUUCGUUGGUCUCGGGACGGGAGUAAUGAUUAAGAGGAACAGUUGGGGGCAUUCGUAUUUCAUUGUCAGAGGUGAAAUUCUUGGAUUUAUGAAAGACGAACUUCUGCGAAAGCAUUUGCCAAGGAUGUUUUCAUUA
RNAcentral lists this ribosomal RNA (374 nucleotides) under uncultured eukaryote. Its description in RNAcentral is "partial 18S ribosomal RNA". It matches the Rfam family "Eukaryotic small subunit ribosomal RNA", at positions 592 to 975 of the family's 1831-position model. The record is from RNAcentral.